Molecule: ribosomal RNA, 163 nt
Filed under: uncultured bacterium
Lineage: Bacteria
Description: partial 16S ribosomal RNA
Rfam family: Bacterial small subunit ribosomal RNA
Source: RNAcentral
UAGGGAAUCUUCCACAAUGGGCGAAAGCCUGAUGGAGCAACGCCGCGUGUGUGAUGAAGGCUUUCGGGUCGUAAAGCACUGUUGUAUGGGAAGAACAGCUAGAAUAGGAAAUGAUUUUAGUUUGACGGUACCAUACCAGAAAGGGACGGCUAAAUACGUACNG